UCAAACUCCUGGGCUCAAGCAGUCCUCCUGCCUUGGCCUCCCAAAGUGCUGGGAUUACAGGUGUGAGCCACUUGCCUGGCUUAUGUUAUUCAACAUUUAUAGUAUUGCGACCAUGAUGAAAAAUAUUAAUAUGCAGGAACCUCAAGGGAUUACUUUUUACAGCAAUACACGAUUUACUGGAGAAAUGAACUGCUCAUGUGAUGAUGAUUAAUGUCUCACAGUGUUUUAAGAUAAGGAUACUUGGAACACUCAAGCUUAUCCCAAUAGCAACCGGAGGUGGCUGUGAAAUAAUUAUGGUAGUACAAUAUGGACUACAAUUAACUUUAUGCAGUUAUGAUUUUAUAUGGCAUUUUUAGUUUAUUUACAUUUCCCUUAAAUGUGAAUGGUUCCAUGUAUGGUCUGUAAGUGUGUCUAAGUUUUGAUAAAUUUUAACUUUUUAUAAUAGAGUUGUAUAUAUUUUACAGUAGUAAGUGAUAAAAUUGACAAGUAUCUAUGUAUAUUUUAUGCAUGCAUGGCAUACCUAGUUUUUUCUUAUUUUUUUCCAUAUUUCUAGGCUACAUGUUUCAUCUACAAGUUUUUUCAAAUUGUUGCAAAUCUUCAAAAAAUUUUCCAUUAUAGUUAUUGAAAAAAAGUCUGUGUGUAAGUGAAUCCUUGAAAUUCAAAUCCUUGAAAUUCAAACCUAAGUUCAAGGAUGAACUGAAGUAUUUAUUGACGAGUUUAUUAGUAAAUUUGUUAUGUAAAGCAUUUAAAAAUAUUUGUAAAGUUCAGGAGUUUACAUAUUUUAUUUUACAAAUUGUCAUACAGUAACGUAACAUUCUGGGUUUACAGUUCUAUGAAUUUAACAUGCUUAUAGAUUCAUAAAACCACCACAAGAGUAUGGCUACAGAACACUUUCAUCACCCCAAAAGCUCCCUUCUACUCACAUUCUUUUAUGGAUCUUUUAGGUGUCUUUAAAUACCAGAAUGUUCUUUUCAUUCUUGUUGUUUUGGAAAUAUUGCUCUUAUUUUCUUCCGAAGUUUGCUUUUUAAAAAUUCUUUUUUUUUUUUUUGAGAUAGUCUCACUCUGUCGCCCAGGCUGGAGUGUAAUGGCGCGAUCUUGACUUACUGCAACCUCCACCUCCUGGGUUCAAGCAAUUCUCUUGCCUCAGCCUCCCCAGUAGCUGGAAUUCCAGUCACCUGCCACCAUGCCUAGAUAAUUUUUGUAUUUUUAGUAGAGACGGGGUUUCAUCAUGUUGGCCAGGCUGGUCUCGAACUCCUGACCUCAGGUGAUCCACCCACCUCGGCCUCCCAAAGUGCUGGGAUUACAGGCAUGAGCCACCACUCCCAGCCCCUUUUUAAAAUGCUUAACAAAAUUUUGUGUUAAACCAAACUAAAUUUUGAACUAACGGGCAGAGCUGCCUAUUUCUGAAACAUAUAAAAUGUCUGGAAAAUACAGGAUAAUAUGAAAAUGGCAAGACUCUUGUGUUUGUUAAAUUUUUCCACCCAAGGGCCCUAACCACAAAGGAUAAGGAACAUGAUGACUUUUGGUACGUGGUGUAGUGCCACACACUUUACUUCAAGGAGAAGUUUUUAGAAUCUCAUGGUUUUUUGUUUUCUGUAUUUCCAGCAGUCCCAGUUUGAGAGGCAGGAUCUUAGGUUAAGAUAUAACCCUAGGGCAACCAAGAGGCCUACCUGACCAAACUACUAAGUGCAACUUACAAUUAUAAUAAUGAAUAUUUUUAUAGCACUUUGCUUAGUUAGUACUGUUUAUUUAUUUAUUUUUUUGAGGCGGAGUCUCUCUCUGUUGCCCAGGCUGGAGUGCAGUGGCACAGUCUUGGCUCACUGCAACCUCUGCCUCCUGGGUUCAAGCUAUUCUCAUGCCUUAGCCCUCUGAGUAGCUGGGACUACAGGUGUGCACCACCACGCCUGGCCAAUUUUUGAAUUUUUAGUAGAGACGGGGUUUUACCAUGUUGGCCAGGCUAGUCUCCAACUCCUGACCUCAAAUGAUCUGCCUGCCUCGGCCUCCCAAAGUGCUGGGAUUACAGGCGUGAGGUACUGCGCCUGGCCUUGCUUUAUUGUUUUUAAUGAUGCAUUGUUGGGUUUUUUUUUUGGUGAAAGUAGGUUUUAAAUUUCAACACUUUUUUUCAUUUUUUAUAUUUAAAAAAAUUAUGGUAAUAUAUACAUAACAUAAAAUUUGCUACUUAAUAAUUUUUAAGUAUAGAGUUCAGUGGCAUUAAGUACAUUCACAUGUACUUUUAAAAAAUUACAAAUGACAUUGCUAAUGAAUACCCUUUUUAAAAAACUUUUAUGAUAGAUUUUUCUCUUUCAUCUUCAGUAAACAGAAUCAUGCUCAGAUAAAACGGCCUGCCAAAGAUUAAAUACAGGAGAAGGAAACAGCAAUCAUUUUAUAGGAAGCAAAUUCUUUUUAAAUUCAUACAUACAGUAACUUAUCUGAAAGCAGGGUGCGUUAUUUGGAAAAACCACUAACUUUUUCUCUAGGGCUCAUUGAGCCAAUAUGACUUCGCCAGUUUUUGGAAGCAAUAUAACUUACUAUUGCUGGAUUUUUAAAUAUUUGAAUAUGAUGAAGCUAUUGAUUUCACCAAAUCCUUAGCCUUUUUUUUUUCUUUUGACACAUAAAGAUCACUGAGUAAAGAUUCUUAACUUUUUAAAGCUGUCGUUAGAAGUUUUGAAGUUACAUUUCAACAGGAAUCUAAGACAUUUGUGUGUUAUUUGAAGCAUAGCACCUUUGGCAGUAUCACUAUACCUACUGUCAGGCUAUUCACAGAUAAAACUUGUUAAGGUUUCUCAAUAGGUACUUAGAGAUAUGACCUUGGAGACUAGAAGCAAGAGUGUUGCUUUCUGAGCUAUGGGACAGUUUUCUUCCCGGUUUAGAAACGUAUAGUAGGAGGGUCUCAUAUAUGGGACUGGUAUAUAAUUAGUUAUAGUUGUGGAAAACAAAAUUUCAAAUAUAAUUUAUUUUCAGCUAAGUUUGCAUGUGCAUGUAUGUGUGUAUGUGUGUUUGACGGUGAUGGUGGGAGUAGGGAAUAUAUUGCCCUAUUCUUUCCUGAGUUCUGGUCACCAAUUGUUGUAGUUAAAUUUUCUGCCUGUGGAUUUAUUUUGAACUUUUUGUGUGAAUUUCAGUCACUAUACUUUUUCUCGUUAGAGUGUACUCUUUCUAGUUAUUAAAAAGAAAAGUUAACUGUAAAACAGCCUCAGGCAGGUCCUUCCGGAGCUAUCCAGAAGAAGCCAUUGUUAUCAUAGGAGAUGACAGCUCCAUGGGUGUUAUUGCCCCUGAAGACCUUCCAGUGGGACAAGAUGUGGAGGUGGAAGACAGUGACACUGAUGAUCCUCACCCUGUCUGGGCUAAUCAUGGUGGUUCUACCAGGAUGAUUUAGGUAAGGGGUUUACCCUCAGAUAAUGAACUUAGUGGGUUCUGUUGUUAGAGAACUUACUUCCUCGAUUGUUCUCAUAGUGUUAUGUUUGUACACUCUGUUCUACCAUAAAGUGAUAUUCUAAGAAACUUUAGUGUAGUGAGAGAAAGAGAGAGAGAGAGAGAGUGUGUGUGUGUGUGUGUGUGUGUGUUGUGGGGAGGAGGAAGGGAGGCUAAGGGAAGGGACGGCUGCCCUUACCUCUUUGUCCUAAUAACAAAUGAAUUUCUUUGCACGCAACUGACUUUUCCCUAUUCUGUGUAUUCUUGGUGAGGGAAUAUUAUCUAGCUUCCUCCUUCCACCUCAGGAGUGUGAAGGGGCCUUAUCUAUCCUCUGCCAGGUAGAGCCAGGAAGUGGCCACUUAACUUAAGCUGGACUUAGAAGGAUGCAAAGCUGGAGGGAACAUCAUUGAGAAUUCAGUAUUUCAUUUCAUAUGGCCUUUUCUUUUUCAAAGGUAAGAAUGAUGAUAGAGGAAGAAGCACAGCCUUUUAAGUAGAUUUCAGCAAUCUUAUUGUCUUUAUACCAGUUGUUUUAAUAUAUGCAGUGCAGAAUCACUUAAACAAAAUUCUUUUCUUGAUUUGUCAAAGCAAAGGAAAACCUAUGCUAGUUAUGCCAGCCACUGUUGUUUGAUAUAAUCAGUAGUCAUCUACUUGCUAGCAAAAAGCAUUCCCUUAUAGUAGAUUUAACUGUAUGCAAUUUAGGUACAAAAACUUGUGUUUUAGAAAAAAUGAGGGUCAUUCUAUAGUACAUAUAAAGUUAUGAUUUAAUUAUGUGUUUACACCCCUUUCCCUUAUACCUUAUGAGUAGACAGUUUUGGUUUUAUCAGUUUUGCACUCCUUUUGAUUAUAAAUGACCAAACAAAUGCUAUUACUUAAAAAAAUUAAUUGUAACUUUGUAAUACAUGUUACAAAAUGUAUAUGUAAUAUAUAAAAAUUCUAAAUGAUGUAUGCGUAUUUUAAACAAAAUAGGAAAUAAUUAAGGUUCAAAAUAAAAUAUCAUGUUUGCCCCUGUUCCCAGUCUCCAGAAGUAACUGCUUUUCCUUGUUUUUAAAAUCAGAAAGGACAUAUGCUUUUCUUCUCCUGAUUAUAUGUGUAGCACAUGUAUGUUGUACAGUAUUCGUUUUCAGUAAUUAAAAUAUGAUAGAUAUAAUGUAGAAAGUGAAAUCCUAUGACAUCUACUGUCAGUUUUGGAGCAUAUGCCUCCAAGUUUGUUUUUAUUCUUGAAUAUAUCUUAAUGUAAAUUGUUGUUAAUUUUUUCCCACAAGUAGAAUAAUUCUGUAUAUACUUCCUUGAUGAUUUAAUUUGAUCUUUGAUAUAAUUUUUUCAUCUUUCCUUGUCAAUAUUGAUACUUUAUUUUUUAGCAGCUAUACAGAUUUCAUUAUAUGGAUAUAUCAUUGGUUAAUAGUUCCUUAUAAUAUUGUUAUAAACAAUUCUGAAGUGAACAUUGUUACACAGAACAUUCACGUUAUUCUUUUGCAAACUUAUGUGAAUAGUUCUGAAGGAUAGAUCCCAAGUGAAAUUACUAUUCUAAAAAUAUAUCAUUUUAUAAUUACAUCAAUUUAUUUCUUCAUUUAGGAAAAUUCUAAGAUCUUCACCUUUACAGUCUUAUUAGGCCACCUGGGAGGGGACAGUGAACCAACAUUAUGAUUAUUUUUUCUUUAGAGCCCAAGUUUCUACUGUAUGCAGCUACCAAUAGAGUCUCUUUUGCCCCUACUUCUUGAAUCUCCUUAUCUUAAAUUGUUCACCUCUGCUUCAGCCCGAGUUUUUAAUCUCUCCCUGCUCCUUUGGAGUUGAUGUUUCUUGCUGACCCUUGAUUUGGCAGCUAGCCCAAUGUGCCCACUCUGUGUGCUCAGGAAACCUAGCCCGGCCCAGGAUUCUUGGGCCCUUUCAUUUGCUUAGAAAAAAAAUUGGAAAUUAUGUAUACUUGGGAUAUGAAAAACAGCAUGUGAUAAGUGGCCAGAUGAAUGGUAUAUAAAAUUAGUCAUAUAUCAGAGAGGGAUAGAAGCUCUAGAGAUAGUUUGGGUCAGGUUAUAUAGAUAUCAGGAUGAAAAUACAGAAUUAUUUUUAUGAGUAGUAGAAUGUAUUGAUGAUUUUUAUGCUGGCAAGUGUAUAGCUUCGUAAGUGUUUCAGGAAAUGUAUUAGAUUUGAAGAAGACUAUAAGAUGGGUGAUUAGUGAAAACAUUGUUUUGUUUAUUUAUUUAUUUAGAAGCUGGAUCUCAUGAUGUUUGUUGCCCAGGGUGGUCUCAAAUUUCUAAGCUCAAGCAGUCCUACUGUCUCAGUCUCGCAAGCAAUAGCUGAAACUACAGUCAUGCGCCACCAUGCCCAGAGAAUGCAUUGUUUUAACAGUCCAUGUUAGAGGCCUCAAAAUAGAAAGGAAGGGACAGACUUGAAAGACGUAGACAUGAGUAUAGAGUUGAUGGUAGUGUUUUUACUAACUUUACGCAGUUUUUGUAUAUUGUCCAUUUAUUUGAUGCUCUGAUACAUUAAAGCUAUUGUCCUUUCUGCCAAAGUUCUGAGAAGAGAACCUGGCUAAGGGAAUAGAUAAGAAGUUGUGUGUGUGGAAGUUGGUGAUGGAUAUGCAUGGAGGAGGGAGUACAGAUAUGUAGAGUAAACAGAGCACACCUUAUGCUGAUAGUACCACUGGUGAACAUCAGGUUUGGUGGGAGAGCUUUGAAUAAGAGGGAAAUGUAUAAUCUACUUUCAGCUUUUAAAAUUUUCAAUUUGACUCCUGGUACUGCUUUGCUCCCAUCACAUGGUAAAUUGAUAUUGGUGACCAUAAAAAAGCUUUAACGCCGAAUUUGAUUUUGAAACAUCUUGGACAGACCAAGCCCUAUAUUCUUCUGAGGUGAGAGGAAGAGAGUCAUGAAUAGCAAAGAUGAUUGCUACGUGGUAUGUUGUAUAGCUGAUUAGAGAGGCGCAUUUUCAGAGGUGCAUUUUUCAGAGGGAGGAAAAUUCAUACUACCCCUUUUUGGGGCAAAGAAGUUGAGGGAAAGUAGAAAUAUAGGCAUUAUAGUAGACCCUUGACCUUUUCUAAUUUAAUAAUAAUGGUUUGGACUAUUUUUAAGCGAUUCUGAAGAUACAGGACAUGAUAUUUACUUGUAAUUUUGCUGACCCAUUAAUUUGAAUGGCUAGAGCUCAGAGGCUGAUUAGCCAAGUGAUUAUAGCAGAUCAUUUUAUUGUUUUCUACGCAUCCUUCUCCCAGCAGUAACAUCAAUUUUUUUGCUGUAUUUAUAAAGUCGUGGAUGAUAAAGGUUAUAGGUGAACUGUAUUUAUGAGCCUUAAUGUCCUUUGCAAAUCUAAAUAAAGUGUGCAAAUUUUGUAACAUAGAAAUGCAUUACAGUCAUCCCUCGCUAUAUGUAGGGAGAUCAGUUCCACGAGUGCCUAUAUUUUGCAUUGGGCCAAUACUGUAUUUUCUGUCCACAUUUGGUUGAAAAGGUCUGUGUUUAAGUGAAUCUGUGCAGUUCAAACCUGUGUUGUUCAAGAGUCAACUUUACUUAUUUUCUCUCAUAGUGAUAUUUGCAAUGUUAGACUUAAGUUUUUUUAGCCAAUAAUUUAAUUUCUGUUUGAUUUUACUUUUCAAUCUGUAUUUUCCUUAAAAGAGUCUAUUUUAGUAAGUAGAGCAUAUCAAUUUUUUUGAAUAACUGCUAGCUGUACUGGUUUUGAUGUCACUCUUUAUUUUGAAAGAUCUAUACAGUUUUAUAGUUAUUAGAAAAAUAAUUCCAUCUCUUGCCCCCAUCUCCCCAAAUGUGAUAUUCACCAUUGACUGAUUUCACUUCUCCCUUGGCCUUCACCACUCAUAGGCUGGUCAGACAAGUUCUUAAGGAAAUAGAACUAACAUCAAUCGAUGUAGGUGAUUUUUGUGCAAAUGGUUAGAAUUUUUGGCUAGGAAAAAUAAAAGCCCUUAUCCUUUUUCCUUUGUUAUUAAUGACAGAUGUGACUUCAUUCUGUUUUAUAUCACUGUUCCUCUGUAUCUGUUUGAAUUUCAUAUGUUUAAAUUGCUCAGGGCUUUAAAAAUAAGAUUCCAGAGAGCUACUUUAGUUUUGUUGUGGGUGUUUGGUUAAAAAGAGGUGAAGGUGGCACUGAUGAAAAAAUAGUUUCUAAGUUGCCUUUUUAGUUUAUAUGGAAUUGUAGCCCUUAAGGCAUUACAGCUUUAUUGAACUGCUAAAUGAGAAGGUAAAAAUGCCUUCAUUUAAUUGCUCCCCCCCAACUUAGGUUAAGUUAGGUGUUGUUUAUAUGUCUUGUAAAUCACCUUUAGUAACCAUGAACAUAAAUUACUGUUUUCAAGAGCCCACCUUCCUCCGCCAUAAGCACAUCAUUUAAAAGUUUUAAAUGAGUCACACAUUUUUGCCUAGACACAAAUUGCCAAUAUAAAGCUGUCUUUGAUUGUAUCCUAAAAUAAUGGAGUUUUUUCCUUGGGUCCUGUAAUUUUCUUUUUCAGCAGUAUUUAUUAAAUUACUCUAGUAUUGGAUUGCAGUAAACAAUCUGACCAAAAACCAUAUGUUUUCUUUGUUUCUUCAGUACAAAUUCAAUGGGUUAAGUAAUUAUGCAGUGGUUCUCAUCUACAUAUACAAUGCAUUCUAAUAACCAACUUCUGUUUAUUGUGGAAAAUAUUGCAGCAGUAGGAAGCAGUUCCUUCUACUUUGCAUUGUAAUAUUGUAUCAAGCUAUUUAAUCUACUGGCUAUUUACAAUUUAAUUUCAUGAAUAUAUCCUUAUAUUCAUUCAUGGUGGUCUUAUAUCUAAGUGAUUGGUGAUUGAGGCAUUUGUAUUUUUUUCUGGAAUAUCUUUUCUGACAUGUUUUUGAAGGUCUUCUUUCCUGUCCUCUCUGCCCAAAAUAGCUGACUGGGUUCUGAUACAGAAACUCUGGUAUCUUGAAAUUCCUCAGGGAUGUGAGGGCAACUUCUAAGGUACUGGAGAGUCUCUUGAUCUUUAAUGAUCAGUUUUUUUUUGUUUGUUUGUUUGUUUUUUUAAGAGAUGAGGUCUCACCAUGUUGCCUAGGCUGUCUUCAAAUUUCUGGGCACUAACAAUCUUCCUGCCUCAGCCUCCUGAGUAGCUGGGACUGCAGGCUUGCACCACUGUGCCCAACUUAGCAUCAAGUUUGAACCUCAUUUUUCUUGUCAGAAUGCUGUCAUUAUAAGUUAAAAAUGUAAGUAUUGAGACUGAUUUGGUUUUGAAAAUGAAGGCACUUGUUGUUAUAUGUAACUUGGAUGAAUGAAAUCAGUUGAGCAUUUGUGUUUUAUUAAAGUGAAUCUUCAUUUCCUUAUAACUGUCCUUUUUCAAAUUUUACAUUGAUGCCUUUACACCACUCAUUGCAUGCCAGAUACAGUUUUCCUACGUCAGUGACUUAUAAUUUUGAGCUUAUGGCUUGGUAGUGCCAUUUGCUAGCCCUGGCAGUUGAAGGAAAGGCAGGGCUAUAGGGCUCUAAGGCUCUAUGGGCUGUAGGCUGUGUUGCAGGACUGGUCAAAAUAAUCACAAGUUUUCUGUCUCUACAUUGGCGAUGUCAGGGCUUCCCCUCAGAAUCCCCAGACUGUCCAUGUGCCUGGAAUUUGUUUAUUCAGGGCCAUGGUGUCCCCUUGACCGGUCCAUCUUCUCCUCCCACUCCAACUCUGUCUUUGCUGUCCUUGCUCACUCUGUGGCAGGAAGGAACAUUACCUGACUGUCCUGGAUUUGACUGACUCAGCUCUUGCCAUAGUACCUAAGGAAGACCCCAUUGAACCAGCAGAGAUUUAGAUAUUUUGUUUGUAUUUCUCACAGGUAAGGGGUUAGGUCAGGGGAGAUGGUCUUGUUCCUCUUCCCUAGUUCCUGAGGUGAAAAGGACAACUGUAUCCACCUUCUGUUCAGUUCAGCUAUGAAGGUCUUCUCUUGCAUUUCAGGUUGCCAGAUGAGUAGAAUCAAAAACUAGGGAUUACUUUAUAGAUUUCUGGGAAUAGUGUUCUUUAUCUUCCAAUUAACUCAAUGUUCAAGUAUAUUUAAAAGUAUUAGGUGUGAAGGUGCAGGGCAGGUGUCUUGAAAUCUUCUCCGCCCAUUUUCCUAACUUGUUUUUUUCCCCAUUUUUGUAUAUAUAGGCUGAAUUCUGAUUUGUAUAUUGUAGGUAACAAUUUCAUUUGGGAAAGAACUCUAAAUUGAAAUUAUUUUGAAUAUGAUUUUUAAAAAAUUGAAGCAGUGUUAUAUUCAGGGUAACAGCUAUACCAGGGGUUGAUGACUUUUAAAGAACUGAGGAAGAUAUACCAAUAAGGAAGUUUACUAUAUGCGAUAAUUUAAAUGUAGAACCACAAUCUUAACACUUUAACACCGUUUUAGAUAUGACCUGCUGUUUAUAUACUUAUGGUGCUGUAAUGGGAAGGGAGUCAACUGAGUAACAGGGAAGGGAAUUUAUUGAUGUUAGGGGGCCAGAAACUUUAUGGUGAUAUAAUUUGAUUCUCCUAGGAACCUAUGAAUUUCAUAUUAUUACCGCAUUUUAGAGAUGGGGAAACUGAUUCUCGGAGAAUUUAAAAAUUUGUCAAAAAAUCACAUAGCUGCUAAGUGGCGGAAUCAAGAUUUUUAGCAAAACUUCUAUCUUUCCUCUACUGUAUAUCUAUUUCUUAAAGUUUUUUUUUAUGAAUAUUAUAUCUUAAAACAUUUUUCUUGUUUUGGAAUAGCUUUAUUAUUAAUAAUAGCUUUAGUGAAGGAAUAAUAUUUCAUUGUCUCAAUGGUGUACGAUUUAUCAUUCUCUAAUUUUUAGACAGCUGGAUGUUUUCAGUUAUUUUGCUAUUAUAGGUAGCUCUUUAGUGAGUGACUUUAUCCAUUUAUAUUUUUAUCUUUAUUGAAUUUUUCCUUACAAAGUAUUUAUUGGAGAUAAAUUAAUGAAUCAAAGAUUAUAUUUCUCUUCUAGUGGCUCUUGUUAUACAAUACCAUGUUGAUUUCCAAAAGGAUUUUUUAAAUUUGCUUUUCUUUUUUUGAGACAGAGUCUCGCUCUGUCGCCCAGGCUGGAGAGCAGUGGUGCCAUCUCGGCUCACUGCAAGCUUUGCCUCCUGGGUUCAUGCCAUUCUCCUGCGUCAGCCUCCCGAGUAGCUGGGACUACAGGCGCCCGCCACCACACCCGGCUAAUUUUUUGUAAUUUUAGUGGAGACGGGGUUUCACCAUGUUAGCCAGGAUGGUCUCGAUCUCCUGAUCUUGUGAUCCGCCCGCCUCGGCCUCCCAAAGUGCUGGGAUUACAGGCGUGAGCCACUGCGCCUGGACUAAAUUUGCUUUUUAAAAAUAAUUACUGGCUGGGCACAGUGGCUCACACCUGUAAUCCCAGCACUUUGGGAGGCCAAGGCAGGUGGAUCACGAGGUCAGGAGUUCAAGACCAGCUUGGCCAAGAUGGUGAGACCUCGUCUCUACUAAAAAUACAAAAAUUAGCUGGGCGCAGUGGUGCACACCUGUAAUCCCAGUUACUCGGGAGGCUGAGGCAGGAGAAUCACUUGAACCCGGGCGGCAGAGGUUGCAGUGAGCCGAGAUCGUGCUGUUGCACUCCAGCCUGGGCGACGGAGUGAGACUCUGUCAAAAAAAAAAAAAAAUCCUACUCCGUUUAACCAACUGUAAAUAUAAAAUUGUACAGUAUACAUAGGGAAUAACUUAAAGUGUAUGUAUUUCAGUAAAAUAAAAUAACAAAGCAUCUAUUUACCCUAUCUAGAGUAAAAUGGAGGAGCUGGGGAACCAUCAUGUGGAAACAGCUGGAGAAGUCCCGAGAAUAGAACUGUUUCUAAAGCUGAUAGAGACCAGGCACAGUGGCUUCUGCCUGUAAUCCCAGCAUUUUGGGAGGCUGAGGCAAGAGGAUCACUUGAAGCCAGGAGUUCGAGAUCAGCCUGGGUAAUAAAGCAAGACCCCAUCUCUUAAAAAAAAAAAAAAAAAGAUGUUAGCUAGACAGUAGUUAGGAGUGAGUGCACUUGAAUUUGUUAGGGUGAUGGUUUGUACCUGGUUUGCUGUAAUUGGCAGGGUGUUGCAGUUAAUCUUUACGAAUUGAAUUUGAUGUAAAUAAAGAUCAGGCUAUAAUUUAAAUUUGAAUUUUAAUCCCUCUUUGUUAAAAUCCCUUUCUGUUCUUCUCAUCACCCUUUCUUUGCUAACAUUGUAAUUUAUGGUGAGAGAAUUUUAGUUUGCUUCAUUUGAUUUGAGAAGCCUUAGGAGACUGGCCUAUUUUACUUGCAAAUAGAAGGUUUAUACUGAAUAUUUACGUAGAAGGAUCAUUAUGUUUUAAACGUCACUAUUUUUUUUUCAGUAAAUGACAUGUUCGAUAAUAUUUUAUUAAAUCUAGAAAAGGAGACAAAGUUGAUGUCAUUUCAGAUAGUAUAGUUACAGAUGGUUUCUGUGAAAAUGUGUGCACAUUUAUGUACAGUUGACCCUUGAACAACACAGGGGUUAAGGAUGCUGACCUCCCACUCAGUUGAACUGUGUGUAACUGAGUUCUGGGGAGAUUCUGACUCCCCAAAAUCUCUACUGUUGAGCAGAAGCCUUACCAAUGACAUAAACAGUUGAUUGACACAUAUUUUGUAUAUGUGUUAUAUACCGUAUUUUUGAAGUAAGCUAGAGGAAAGACUAUUAUUAAGAAAAUCAUAAGGAAAAUAAUUUACAGUACUGUACUUCUGAUACCAUAAGUUCAUAUUAUCUGUUUACAAGAUGAGUCUUCUGAAAUGGUAGCAACCACAGCUGUAGAUCUCAAUCUACGGUCCCUAUUAAGUGGACCUUCUAAUCUGUGGUCCAAUUCAACAUUUCGUUGUCAAGUCAUGACAUUUCUCUGCUUCUUGGGAGCACUGCCAGCAUCACUAGUGGCACUUGGUAUGGCUCCCAUGGUGUUAUUCAAGGUUUACAAUAUAGCAUUAAACACAAUGAAAAAAACACAAGAACUGCAAGAGAUCACUUUUUACUGUAAUACACAAUUUUCUGGAGAGAUAAACUGCUCACAGGAAGAUGAUUAAUGUCUCACAGUGUCUUAAGCGGAUACUCGCAACACUCAAGCUCAUCCCAAUAGCAACAGGAGGUGGCGGUGAAAUUAUUAUGGUAGUACAGUAUGGAGUACAGUUAAUUUUAUGCAGUUAUGAUUUCAUACUGCAUCUUUAUGUUUGUUUACAUUUCUUUCAACUGUGAAUGGUGUCAUAUAACAAUCUAAGUGCGCAUGUGUACAUUUUGAUAAAUUCUUAAGUUUUUAUAAUUUAUAUAUAUUUUAUGUUAGUAGAUGAUAGACUAGUGUUUGCAUAUUUUUAUGCAUUCAUGACAUACCUAACUGUAAACAUUUUUCAGUAUUUCUAGGUUACCCGGUUUAUCUGUGAGUUUUUUUCAAACUUGCAAAUCUUCAAAAAUUUAAAAAUAUGUUUAUUGAAAAAAAUCCACAGGCAAGUGAACCCUCUCAGUUCAAAGCCAUGUUGUUCAGGGUCAAUUCUAUUAUAUUUCCAUGUCAUUUUUAUAACUACCCAUACUGGCUAAAGGCAAAAUGGUAGCUUACCUUUAUUGGACUGAUAAUGAUAUCCCUUGAUAGUUGGUAAAAGGAGCUGUUUUACCCAGCGUUUUCCCAUUAUCUUCUUUCUUUCCCAUUACAUGAUACGAAUGGUAACAAUGUACUUUUAUGAGAGGCUUUAUUUAUUGAGGAUUAAUGUGUUAUAAGCAGUAUAAUAAAGGCUUUAUUAUUACAUCUAUUAACUCUCUCAAGAUUUGCAUGAAGUACGCAGUACUAUUCCCAUUUUGCAUACUAAAGAAACAAUUCUAGUACUUUGAGGGGGCUGUGGCAGGAAGAUCGCUUGAGUCUAGAAGUUCAAGUCCAGCCAGGACAACAUAGUGAGACCCCCCUUCUCUACUAAACAAUAAAAAAAAUCAGCCGGGCAUGGUGGCGUGUGCCUGUAGUCUCAGUUACUCAGGUGGCUGAGGAUCUACUGAGGUGGGAGGAUCACUCAAGCUCAGGAAUUUGAGGCUGCAGUGAGCCAUGAUUGUGCCACUGCACUCCAGCCUGGGCAUUAAAGGAAGACCCAGACACUGUCUCUUAAAAAGAGAGAUGAAGUGACUUGCUUAAGUUAGUAAAUGGAAGAACUGAGAGUUUAAUCUAGGAUCUGUGACCUGAAACCCAUCAUUUUAACUUCUCUCAUAUUGUAUGUUGUGUGCAUUUUUAGUUAAUUGACUAUAACACUCAUGGUUACAUGCUUUAAGCCUUUAGUCUCCUCUACCUUACAACCCAUUUACUUAAGAAAAUCUUCGCAUUCUCUUUUUGAACCUAAAAUACUCGUGAUGAUACUUUGAUGCCGACAAGCAUUUCUAGGAAUAGAGUGGAGAGGGCAAGAGAGAUCAUCUUUAGUCAGACAAGUUGUAAUUUUGUUUGGUUCUUAAAGGUAGGUGUUUGGUGUAGGUUUCUUUGAAGGCAAUUUAUGUAUGGUAAGGGAAAUAUAGUUUACUUUAGAAAGUAGAUGCUUACUAUUGAUUAGUAUCAAUGAAUCAGUAUUUUCUGCAGAAUUUAAACAAUUGUAUUUAAGGGUUACAAGAUCUUAUUUUUACCAAAUGAGGAUUCCAUUGAAAUGCUUUACUGUCUUAAGCCUCCUCCCCUUACUCCUUGGAGAUGUGGAUGGGAUUAAAAAAAAAAGAAUUAUAUUGAUGUUUUCUUUGGAUAAAGUUGUUAAAAUAAUGAGUUGGUUCAUUAGGCUCCUCCAAAGGUAGAUAAUGAUACCUUCUGAUUUCUUUAAACCUCCUGGGUUUAAACAUUUGUUAUGUGUCCGUCCAUUGCAGUUAUCCAUAUUGAUAUUCCAGUUGUUCCAGGGGAAUCUCUUCAAGUUGGUUCCUGAGCACUUUUGAUGCCACAUUAGUGGUCUUUGAUAGCUUUCUUGCUGUCUGGUAUGAUCUCAAGGGUGUUCCAGGCCUAUCUUUUUAUAUCCUCCCCAGUUCUGGAAAUAGCCAAGUGUCCAAGGAGCCUUGGUUUCUUUUUCUAACUGCUAUAAUCUUUCUCACUCAACUAUCCUUUGUAGCUCCUAGAAAAACGUAUUUUUAUAGAAAAGAAUGUAACUCUUCAUCCACCUGUCUUCCUAUGGAAAGACAGAAAUAUAUCUUGGAAGGAAUUGGUAUUAAUAGCCUCCAAAGUAAUGGUUCUCAAAAUUUUUUAUCUCGAGACUCUAAAACUUUUAAAAUUAUUAAGGGCUCUCAAAACCUUGUGCUUUUGUAGGUAAAUGUCAAUCAGUAUUUACCGUAUUAAAAAUUAAAACUAAGAUUUUUAAAAUGACUUAAUAAUUCAUUUUAAAACCACAGUAAACCCAUUAUAUGUGUACAUAAUAUAUUUUUUGAGAAAUGAUUACAUUUUCUAAAACAAAAAUAUUUAAUGAGACCAAGAGGGAUUGCUUUUUUUUUUAAAUAAAUUUCUUUAAUGUCCAGCAUAAGAGAGGACAGCUGGAUUCUUAUAUCUGCUUGUACAUUUAAUCUAACACUGUAUGUUGUUUUGGCUGAGGUAUAUAAAGAAAACCUGGCCUCAGAUAUGUGGUUAGAAAAGGGAAGAGUAUUUUAAUAACCUUUCAGAUAAUUGUGAAUAUUCUUCUUUGAUACUACAUCAAAACUUGACAAAUAAUAGUAUCUUAAAAGUUAAUCGGAAUGUGGAAUCUGCAACUAUAACAAUGAACAUUCUGUACUCAUAUUAAAGUCCCUUAGUCUAUCUUGUACUUUGAGUGACUCUUUUACCCAUUUGGUUGUUUGGAAAAUGCUGAUUCUUGGUGAGUGAUACAGAUAUUCCAAAUCUUGAGACCUUAUGUGAUACAGUAUCAAAAAAAUCAAAUCUGUUGAUAUCACCACAGAUCUCAUCAGAAAAAUCUUUAAAUAUUGGGAAGUUGUCAGGGUUACAGUGGCAAAUGCACAUUUUCAAAAAUUAUAAUUUUUACUUGAAAGUCUGAAUCCUGCCACCUCCCAACCCCCCACUAUCUUGCCAGGUCUUAUUAACACUUGACAAGGAAUGGAGCAUUGGCUGUGUUUGAGCAGCUGCCCCCUGCUAGUGUGUAAUUCAGGGAAUUGGGAACAUGGGAAUGUUUUUGGGUGGUGUGGUCUGUGUCUGCCCCAUCCUGAGCUUUCCCCCGGUGGCUGAGAGCCUGAAUUUUAUAAUUUACAAGAAAAUGGCUGCCAGAUACAAAAGAUUAAAUAACCAUAGUUUGAAUGUCAGUUAUUUUUUCACAUAGAAAUGGGGUUCUACAAAAAAGUGGCCAGUUCAGCUUGCAACCCAAAUGCUUUCCUUUAACAACCAUUAUUUUGGUAUGUAGCAGAAACAUUUUAUGCAUACUUCUGUUUCCUCACCCAGCACGUUAGAGAUGUAUACCCAAGGGUUGAGAUACAAUAAAAUUAAUAGCCCUUACUGAUUCAUCAAGGACUGCCUUAGGUGAAACUGGGUUGUUUAUUUUUAAUUGUGAUGAAUACAUUGACCAAGUACAAUAUGACCUUGAUUCAUGCUAAGAUACUAGCAGUUUUUCCCACAAUUACUUUUGUACCAUGACUGCUGAUGUCAAUACAGUGAAAAAGGCAAAUAACAUGUUAAUAUUAUUAUGAAAUUACAUAUAUGUAAAACUAUAUAUAUAUAGACAGAGAGAAAUUUUGAGACAGAGGCUCACUCCAUCACCCAGGCUGGAGUGUAGUGGUGUGAUCUUGGCUCACUGCAACGUCUGCCUCCCAGGUUCAAGCAAUUCUUGUGCCUCAGCUUCCUGAGUAGCUGGGAUUACAGGUGCCCACUGCCAUACCCGGCUAAUUUAUGUAUUUUUAGUAGAGACAGGGUUUUGCCAUCUUGGCCAGGCUGGUCUCGGAACUCUUGACCUCAAAUGAUUUGCCUGCCUUGGCCUCCCAAAGUGCUAGGAUUACAGGCAUGAGCUACUGUGCCUGGCCUAAAAUAAUAUUUUGACCUUGAAGACUCCCAGGGGUUUAUGGACCAUACUUUAAGAACCCCUGCUUUAAGUUAUUUGAAAAUAUCCAGAAGCCUAUAUUAGUCUUUAUUAAUCUGCCCACUUUCUUGUUUUUAACUUGGAUUUCUUCAGUUCCUACAAGUGCAUGUAAAUGACAUUAAUUUAGAACUCAGUUUUACCAUUUUUGCUUUGCAAGCAUUGCAUAUAAAAUUUUAUUGCAGGCUGGGCACGGUGGCUCAUGCCUGUAAUCCCAGCACUUUGGGAGGCCAAGGCAGGCGGAUCACAAGGUCAGGAGAUCGAGAUCAUCCUGGCCAACAUGGUGAAGCCCCGUCUCUACUAAAAAUAUAAAAAUUAGCUGGACGUGGUGGCAUGCCUGUAAUCCCAGCUACUAGGGGGUGCUGAGGCAGGAGAAUCGCUUGAACCUGAGAGGCAGAGAUUGCAGUGAGCCGAGAUCAUGCCACUGCACUCCAGUCUGGCGACAGAGCAAGACUCCAUCUCAAAACAAAACAAAACAAACCUUUAUUGCAAAUGUGCAGAGCUUUCAGCUACGUGAUCAUUUGAAAAGACUGAAUAGCUAUUGUAUGUUUUGAACCCCUUGCUUACAAAUUAAUAUUUGGCUAUACUGUGUCAAUAAAUUGGAUGUUAAACCUACACUCCAGCAUUAAACAGUUUUAAUGUGGGUUUGAGGUAUUCCUUGCUUAUAUUAAUGUGACUGUAAGAGAAGUUGUAGAUCACAUUUGCCUAUUUAUUUUUUCUUCAUUUCUUAGUAGCUUAAUUCCAUCCCUCUUCACCCUUUAAACUACAGCAAUUGUCACCCUUUGAACUAGAACAGCUAAAAUCACUUAAGAGAAAUAAGGAUCCUUUGUGUACAGGAACAUUUAGAGGUAGGGAAGUGGGAAGAAUCCUUCACAGUGUAAUUCAUUCCUAAUCAAAAAUUUUCCCCCCUGGGCUUCAUUGGAGUUGGGGGUGGGAGAGCGAGUACCUAUGUUUCAGACUUUUGAAGUUUAAUUUCAUUCUGACUUGGAAUUAUUCUCAUAAAAAAAAAAAACAACAAACCAACAACAUCAAAACAACAUACCUUCUAGCGCUUUAUUAAAAGGUUAAAUCCUUAGGUGGUGGUAGUAGGGGGGAAUGCUAAUCAUUCUGGACACUGCCAUCUGUUUCAAUUUUUGCCAUCAGUGAGAAACUGCCCCCAACACUGCAGUUAAUUAGGCCUUUAGAGCUUGGGUGUUUGUUGUUUUGUUUAGCUUCUAUGGGAAGGUUUUCUCCAGCACUGAGUAACAGUAGCCAGAUAUCAAUUAACCUAUUUAUGCCUAAGUGUUCCAUUAUUGGAACACUAAGCUUGUGGGAGUUAUUUAUAUCUUACUGCACAAGGUCUUCUCCAUGGUCUGAUUUUUCACACAAAAAAACAACUUGCCACCUCUGGUGUAAAUGGGUUAAUAGAACAAAUGUUAAAAAAUAUUUGAAAAUAUUGUAACAUAAAUUAUUAACCUAUAGAAUACACUGGCAACAUAUUACUACAUUGGUAAUAUAUCAAUACAUUGUCUUAUAUAAACAUUUUUAGCCCAGCAUUAAUUCUAGUUUGUCUGAUUCAGCUUCUUUUUUAGGUUGAGAAUAUUAUAUUUCCCUAUUUAAGAGUUCUUUUAGUUAUUCAAAGAUUAUAGCAGAUAUUCUGACAGGGCAUAUUAUAAAAACGUUGAUUGUGAACAUGUUAAAAGCUUCUCUUCAGUAUUUUCUUUUUAUAAACCACCUGUUGUCUUAUGUGCAUAGCAUAUACAUUUGAACAAAGUGCUCAUCACUUGUCAGCCAUCAGUGGCAGCAUAGAAAUUACUUGUGGUACUUGCUUUGCAAGAAAUUCUUUUGUAUUUGUGACAUCAGCUUUGUUUUAUACAAUUAAAGUAUUACACGCUAGAAUAAUCUAAAUUACAACCACCAAAUGGUGAUGAAGUUCUUCCCUUGAACUGAAUUUGUUUACUUAAUGUGUGCAGCUAUUGACUAUUAUUUAAAAUGACAGUUUCAUAAAAAUCUCUCCCUUAUUUUGGUAGCAAAUAAGAAGGUGUUGUAAUAUUAAAGGUAUUUCUCAAUUUUAAAAUGUACUUUGAAUAAAUAUUACAUUAAGAGAUAAAGUGUGGAAAAUCCCAUGUGUGUGAAAAUCCUUCAAUUAUACAAUUUGAUUUUCAAAUGAAAUUUAAUGCUCUUAAUAUGAUACAUUCAUGAUCACUUUAAUAGUAUUUUUCUAAUUUUUAAAUUCCCAGUUAAAAGCAUUUUGCACUCAUUUUAAUUCAUUUUCUUCUGUUAAAAAGGAACAAAAUAUAACUGAUUAAAACUUAAGAUUGAUAUUGGAAUAAAUAUUUAGACUGUUAGAUAACUUCUUUUAUAUUCGCAUGAGCAUUAACUCUACACAGCAAUCUAGAUGCUUAGAGAACCAUACCAAUGCAUUCUAAGUAAUUGAGUUUUUUUCCUUUAAUGUUUUGUUAAAUAAUCCUGGUUAUAAUUUAUUUGAGUAAGUUAACAGUACUAGUAUAUUGACAUUAUUUGGGUUGACAAGUAUUUUUAGAUAAUUAUUUCACUGAACAUGUUUCGGGACUAAUGGAAUAAAAUUACUCAUUUAAAGUAAGUUUAUUAUCUUGUACUUUGUAAAAAGCUUUAAGAAUGUCACUGUUAUUUAAUAAUAGGUAAAAGGUAUAUUUAGUUUUAAUUUUAAUAACAGGUAAAAGGUAUAGUAUAAGGAUGUUUUCUAAAGUAGCCAGUGGUAUGCCUCUGCAAUAUAAUUGGCUUGCUAAACCUCAAUAAUAGUUGGCAUACAGAAACUCUACAUGAAUUCAGUGAUUAAAAGCAGGAAAACUACUUAAAAUAAGACCUUUUUGUUCUUUUUAGAAACAAUCUAAAUGAGAACUUUAUAUUUGCAGGAACAAGAUUUGGCAUUUCUUUUUCACUGCUUGGUUGCUUUGAUGUGAGCAGUAUAAUGUAGUGGACAUUAGUAUAUAAGUAAAUGAUUAAAUGAGUCAUAAGAUGGAACAUCUGCCUGAGAAGGCCUUUCAGACAGCAUGAGUUAUGUUGUUGAAGUCUCUAAUCAGUGCAUCUGUCCCUGAGACUUCAGUUGGUACAAGGAUAGUUUUCUAUUUUGGAUUAGUUACUAUAUGAAGACAGCAUAUUUAAAAAAAAUUUUUUCAUGCAUGCAACUGGAAAAUUUGUGCCUGUGAUAUUGGAAUAAAAAAAUUACAGCAGUGAUUUUUUUUUUGAGCAUAGUAAUAAAGGAUAGCAAUAAGUGUAUAAAAUUUAACUUUUAUAUGCCUUAAAAUGGUUAUUUAUGGUAGGAUUUUACAUUACAGACCCAUAAGUCUUAAUGUCUUACCUGAGGAAAUAUUCUUAGAAAUAAUGUUAUUACAACAGGACAUAAAUUCAGAUGAAGGCUGAAGCACAGCAGGAUUCAGAUAGGAUGUUUAACUGAAACUGCAGACCAUAUCGUGGGUCCCUUCCGAUCUGGAAUAUUACCAUAGUUUCAAAGUUGCAGAGAGAGAGAGAGAAAAUAUGAAUAUGCACGUUUGUAUGUUGUAUACAAGAUAAAAACUCCUAACCAAGAGCACAUUGUAGAAUACCAGAGGAUGAUGACAUAGAGUUGUGGUAAAUGUAUGUAUGUUUUAUUCUUUAUAAUCAACAAGCCACAGGAGACAAAUUCUUGUGAUCAUAGUUAAUUUUCACUAAAGGGUGCAAUCGAAAGAAGAAAUUGGCUCUUCUUUCCUUCAAAAAUUUAUACUUAGCUGUUCAAUUAAACUUUUUUACAAGAAAAUAAUGAGUGUAAUUAAAGGAGAAUAUGGGGGUUUGAGUAAGAAUUGGGCACAUGUUAAUUUACGUAUUGGGAUUUUUAAAUCUUUGAAAUAUAGACCAGUCAUCGGGAAAUAUUUUUAUUUUAAAAAGGGGUUUUAAAAAGUUGUGAGGCCCUCUAGUUUUUGCCCUGGGGUGUAGAGAGCCGGAAGGAGUAUCACUCCCACCCUCGCAAUGAAAAAGAGCCUGACUAACUUUAAAAUGUAAGGAUAUACAGUGCCUAUGGGGAUGGAGGAGACAUGAACCCACACUCAACUUGGAUAGACACAACGGGACACCAGUGAGAAGAGUUCAGCUAGAAUUGGGACAGAUUAGUGAAGGUUGAGUCCAGGCCAGCAAGAAUUUGUGAUGUCCGUGAAGGCUGCAGAAAUUGGGGAACCUGGUACCCUCUUGUAUAUUCUUUCUUCACUAGUGGAUGGGGUAGGAAUCCCAGGAGAUGGGAAAUGGGAAAGAGUCCCCAAAAGUAUGCGAUGUGGCACACACCCUGGGGACGAGAACAGCGGUGACACGUGGCUUCUUCCUUCUCUCCACUAUACAACAAAAGCCAUCAUCUGGGAACAGUGGAGUGGAAAGGAGGUAGUAAGCACAGCAAGCCUUAGGGCCUUGAUGAAAUUCUGAAAUUCAUUGCAGUUGGGGAGAGGAAAGUGCGUGCACGUGUGUGUGUCUACUUUGUCAGGAAUAUGCGGGGCCCACAACUGUAGUUUAGGGCAGGAGGUUAGAUAACUGAUACAGCUAUAUCUUCAAGACCCAGGCUGACAUGUGACUAAGGCUGAGCCUUGCUCAGAACAACAGAGGAUUGAUCUGGGCCCCCAACCAUUUCUCACCAUCAAACUAACAGGUUUCUAAUAAUAAUUAACAGCUGCUGGGUUAGAGACAGGAGAGGAAAAAAGAAUAGACAGCGAUUCCUGGUGUAAAAGAAAGAGCUGAACUCACAAUAGAAUAGACAUUACUCUGAUAAAUUAAGGCCCAUCAUAAAAACAAGAUAUUUCUACAGGAGUUUAAAGCCUGUAGUAUACUCAGGGUAACAAUAGUGCUAACUUCAAACCCAGCCCAGUGCCUAACUAGAUAAACUCUAACCCUUCAGUAAAGGCCUAGGAGAAGAAAAGUCUUGCCCCAUUUUAGGCAUAAAAACUAUUUAGUUUCUACUGUUGCACACAAGAGGAUCAGCUUCCAAUAACAACAACAACAAAAAACCAUGAGAUGUAUUUAAAAAGCAAGAAAAAAAAGCACUCAGGGAUAAAGCAAUCAUUGAAACUAGCCUUAGACAGCUGGGUGCAGUGGCUCACGCCUGUAAUCCCAGCCCUUUGGGAGGCCGAGGUGGGUGGAUCACCUGAGGUCAGGAGUUUAAGACCAGCCUGGUCAACAUGGUGAAACCUCAUCUCUGCUAAAAAUACAGAAAUUAGCUGGGCAUGGUGGUGCAUGCCUAUAAUCCCAGCUACUCGGGAAGCUGAGGCACGAGAAUCGCUUGAAUCCAGAGGGCGGAAGUUGCAGUGAGCUGAGAUUGUGCCACUGCACUCCAGCCUGGGCAACAGAGCGAGACCCCCAUCUCAAAAAAAAAAAAAAAGAAAGAAAGAAAUAUUUUAAGAAAUAAUGACCAAGAAUUUUCCAAAAUUAAUGAGACACAAAACCAUAGGUCCAAAAAGCUCAGAGAAUAACAAGCAGGAUAAAUACCACACACAUACGCUUACACACGUGGACAUGUAGUAUUCAAGCUGCUUAAAAUGAAAGGUAAAAAGAAAAUCUCUAAGGCACCCGGAGAAAAAGGUAACAUUAUGUAUAGAGAACAAUGAUAGGAAGUUUGUGUGAUGGCUGACUUUUCGAAACUAUGGAAGCUAGGAGACAGUGGAAUGACACUUUGGAAGUGCUGAAAGAAAAAAACUCAGCCCAGAAAUCUGUGCCUAAUGAGAAUGUUUUUCAGAAAUGAAACAGAAAUAGUCUUUCAUAGGCAAACAAAGACUAGGAAUUCAUUGCCAGUAGACCUACUCUACAAGAAAUGUUAAAGCAAGUUCUUCAGGCAGAUGGAAUAAAUGAAGGAAAAAAUUGAUAUUUUAUUGCUAAUUCUUCUGAAAUAAGAAUCAGCAAACUUUUUAUAUAAAGAUUAGAUAAUAAAUAUUAUAGGCUUUGAGGGUCAUAUGGUUUUUGAAACUACUCAACUUUGCAGUUGUCGUGUGAAAUAUGAAUGAAUGAAUGAGCACGUACCAAAUAUGAAGUGGUGUGUAGGCUGAGUAUCUCUAAUCUAAAAAUUCAAAAUUAAAAUGCUUCAAAAUCUGAAACUUUUUGAGGGCUGACAUGACGCUCAAAGGAAAUGCUUGUAGGAGCAUUUUAGAUUUUGGAUUUUUAGAUUAUGGAUGCUUAACUGAUAAGUAUAAUGCACAUAUUCCAAAAUCCAAAAUAAAUCCAAAAUCUGAAACACUUCUGGUCUCAGGCAUUUUGGAUAAGGGAUACUUAUAAUAUCACUUAAAGGUGGACUCAGAUUAAUGAAAAAUGUAUAUUGUAAACCUUUGGACAACUACUGAAAGUUUUGAAAUAGAGUCAUAAUAAUAAAUCUAUAGAAGAGACAAAAUGGAAUUAUAAAAAAAUCCUUAGCACAAGUCAGAGAAAGAGGAAGAAAGAAAGAAUAGCUGGAGUAAGUAGAAAAUUGCUAGCAAGAUGGUAGAUUUUAGUCCAGUCAUAUCAAUAAUAUUAAAUGUGAAUAUUCUAAAUCAGGGAUUGGCAAACUGCUGCCGGCUAGUUUCAUUUGUUUGUACAUAUGUGCUGUGAUCGAGAGAAUUCCUGGACUUAGAGUGCAUCUAGAAUUUAGACAGCCAUAAACAUGUGCAUGAGGAAGAAUUUAGAUAAUGCACGGUGUGAUCCACCAGUUUACUGGUAAUUUUUUUUUCAAGAAACAAUUUUUGGUUGGAUGUGGUGGCUCAUGCCUAUAAUCCCAACACUGUUGGAGGCCAAGCUGAGAGGAUUGCUUGAGGUCAGGAGUUUGAGACCAGCCUGGGCAACACAGUGAGACCCCAUAUCUACACAAAUUUUAAAAAAUAAUAAAUUAGCUGAGUAUGGUGACGGGUGCCUCUAGUCCCAGCUACUCAGUGGGCUGAGGCGGGAAGAUCACUUCAGCCCAGUAGUUCAAGGCUGCAGUGAGCUGUGAUUUCACCUCUGCACUCCAGCCUGAGCGACAGAGCCAGAGCCAGGACCCUGUCUUCACAAAAGAAAAAAAAAAAGAAAAGAAUUUUCAUUUUAGGGGAAAAAAUUGACUUGGGUGAAUGUGGGUAAAGAUAAAAGGGGACAUUGUGUUUUAGACUUUAGGAAGACUUUUCUGAAAUAAAGGAGAAAGUGUUAUUGUAAACAUACGCUGAAGCUGUUCUGUCUUGUCAGUUUCCUAAAUGACAUUGGAUCAGGAAUUAUUUUUCUGUAUAUACAUAUAUUUUUAAGUAUAAAUUGUAUAUUUAUGUUGUACAACAUGAUGUUUUCGUAUAUGUAUACGUUGUGGAUUGGCUAAAUCAAGGUGUUUAUACAUUACCUCACAUACUUGUCAUUUUUUUGGUUGGGGGAACACUUGAAAUCUACUCUUAGCAAUUUUCAAGGAUACAAAUAUAGUAUUAACUAUACUCACUGUUAUGUACAAUAGAGCUCUUGAAUGGAUUCUUCUUGUCUAAGUGAAAUUUUAUUUUAUAUCCUUUGACCCAGAGUUACUUUCCUUUUUUUUUUUUUUUUUUUUUUUUUGAGACGAAGUCUUGCUCUGUUGCCCAGGCUGGAGUACAGUGGCGCAAUCUCGGCUCACUGCAAGCUCUGCCUCCCGGGUUCAAGCCAUUCGACCCAGAGUUACUUUCUAAUGUAAGAAGUUUUCAGAAUUGAUUUGUGAAACAUAACCUUUUAUUAGGUACACACCCAUUAUUCCUAGAGCUAAGGUAUAUUUUUGUCCUUUGGAAUACUGCUGAAUGUACUAAAAUAGGAAUGCUUCCACAUUACUCUUUGAUAAUUACUAAUGUGUGGUUGAUCAAAAUCUGUUCUUAAUAUUGUGCUUGUAACUUUCAGGUAAAUCAUUUGAAGCAGUACUUACUGCCUUUGAAGAUAGAAUUUCAUGUAUCCAACAUAGAAUUUCAUUCUAUGAAAUUCUAUAAAAUAUAUAAAUAUAGAAUAUAUUUCAUAUAUUUCAAAUAACCCAAUAUUUGGAAAUAGGUCUGUGUAUUUUAGUCCCAGCUUUGUAACUUACUAGUUUUGUGCAAGGAGUAAUAUUUAAGCUUCGUGAGUCUCAGUUUCCUCAUAUGUGAAAUGGAGAUGAUUUUCAUAUUCGGUUUAUAGUCAUAAUUAAAUGAGAUAUAUGUCAAAUAUUAAUUACUGAGAAAUACUAAACAAAUUUAAAUCCAAAAGUAAUUGUUUUGAGCAGGUAAUUACGUAUGUGGCACAAAAGUAAAACAGACAUAAAGGUAUAUGCCGAGAAGGUUUACUCCUUGUCUGUAUCUACCAUGUCCCUCCUCACGCCCACAGCAUUUAUUUUUACUAGUUCCUUAUUUAUUUUUCUGUAAUUUCUUUAUACAAAUAUAAACAAAUGCAAUUCAAUAUUUUUUUCCUCUUUCUUAAAUGAAAAAUAGCCUACCAGGUACACUGAAGUACCUUACUUUUGGCAUUUACAGUCUCCUGGAGGGCCUCCACAGCAGCGCACAGUUAUUGUUUUCAUUUUUCUUCUCAGAUGUAUUUUAUUUCAUUUUAUGGCUGUAAUGUUGUUUAUUCAGAUCAUUCAGUAUUGGUGGGUACUUGAGUGUUUUCCAGUUGUGUGUGUGUGUGUUUUGUUUUUUUUUUUUUUGCUCUGAUUAUAUUAUAAUGCCACAAGGCCAAAUUCAUAAUUCAGUAUAUAUGUCAUUUCCUACUUGUAUACUGAAUGGGAGAUAGAUUUACAAAAAUGGGAUUGUUGGGUCAAAGAGAAAAUGCAUCAGUAAUUAUGGUAGAUAUUCAAGUUUCCCAUUUAGGAGUUAUACCAUUUUGUACUGCUACCAACAGUGUAUGCGAAUGCCUAUUUCUCUAUGACCUUGCCAGCAGAAUGUGUUAAACCUGCAUAUUUUUGCACUUUGCUAGGAGAGAAUUGAUAUGUUGGUAUAGUUUUACUUUGCUUUUCUCAUUAUGAGUGAGUGAGACCGAACAUCUCUUCAUAUUUAAGAGCUAUUUUUUUAAUGGAUUGCCUGUUCAAGUUGCUUGUCCCUUAUUGUAUUGUUCUUUCUUUCAUUUUUAAAUUUCUUAACACCUAAGACUUCUUUAUAGAUAUCAGCCCUAUGUUGUAUGAGUUGCAGAUUUUUUUCCAUGUUUGUCAUUUGUGCUUUAACUUUCUUUGUGAUGUCUUGUGCUAUUCAAAGUUUUUUUUAGUUGAACUGAGUUAUCAGAAAGGUUUUCCUCAACCCAUGGUUACAAAAUAAUUCACUUAUAUUUUCUUUCAGUACUUUUAUUAUUUCAUUUUUUUCUUUGUAAAUCUCUAAUCCACUUACAGUUUAUAUGCACUGAGACCUAGAUCCUACCUUUUUAUGUUUUUUGAAAACAGCUCUUUGGUUAUUCAAUAAUGUGUAUUAAAAAGUCUAUAUUUAUGGAUUUGAGCUGCUUUUAUCAUAUGCUAGAUUCCUAUGAGUAUUUAGGCCAUUUCAGAUCUUCCUAUUCUGUUUCAUCAAUAUGCCAAUGUAUUUUUCUUAAUGCCAUACCUUUUAUAUAAUUAAGAUAUAGUAAUAUAAGGUGAAUAUCUCUUAUCUGAAGUGCUUGGGGCCAGAAGUGUUUUGGAUUUUGGAUUUUCUCAGAUUUUGGAACAUUUGCAUAUACAUAAUGAGAUAUCUUGGGUAUGGGACCCAAGUCUAAACAUGAAAUUUAUUUAUGUUUCAUAUACACCUUAUACACAUAGCUGAAAGUAAUUUUAUACAAUAUUUUUUAAUAAUUUUGUGCAUGAAACAAAAGUUUGUAUAUGUCAAACCAUCAGAAAGCAAAGGUGUCAGUAUCUCAGCCACCCAUGGGGACAAUCUGUAGUUGUUUUGCAUCACCAUCCUUCCUGACUCUGAAUUUAAAUGCUGCUGAUAAGCAGCCAUUUUCUUACACUUAUUUACAUCUAAGUACUUAACAGUAAAUAUAACAUGUCAUUAAUAUGUGAAAAGAUAAUGUGUUCAGGGUAACUCAGCAGCACAGUAGCAUCACCAGAAUACCCGUGUCAGCUGUUAGACAACAACAUCCAACAGCAGCAGGCUUUCAGUCUCCAUCUAUGAUGCUGUAUUUUGACAAAAAGUUUACUGUAUACGGUAUUUAUUAUUAUUAUUAUUAUUAUUAUUUUUAGGAGGAAAGAAACAUUAGAGGCAAUUGAAGGACCAGAAAGUGGGUUUUGUAGGCGUGAGGAGACAUUCUGCUCGAUGGCUUUUUAAAAUGUUUGCUCCAGAUCAUCUGCCUCAUUAACAACAUUUUUGUGUCUUAACAACCUCUCUGAUUUUGUAAACUGACAUGAUUCCUUGUUCUGUUAUGAACGCAUGUUGUUCUAGUCCUUCUAUAAGCCCAUCACACAUUUUCACCAUGUGGUCCAUAUGUACUUCUGCAGAAUUAAUGUCCUCUCCAUCAUUGGUUUUAUCAUGAUCACCUUGAUUCAGAACCAUUUUGGCCGUUUAACCACUGGUCAAUGAAUGAACAACUGGAGCCUCAUUCCAGCUUGCUGACAGACUCUGAAGGUAUAUAUUUUGCAUAUAUAAGGAGGUCAGGCAUCAUUUUUUCUCACUGGACAUACAGAAUCCUUCACAGUCACCACCUUAUUCAUCAUCACUCAGCAUAGUCACAGGACAGAGGUUGUGUCUUUAGUUACUGUGUUCCAAACAUUGGCAACAACAUAUGUGGCUUCCUUCAUGCUAAACUCCUUUUGAAAACCUUCCAUACCCCUGCCUCUGUUCACUGCUACUAGCAUGCUAUUCAAGAAAGUGUUUUUCUAUUUACUCUUCGUUGAUCUAAGGAUACCCUGAUCACAUGACUUAGUUAAAGAAGUCACAUCGGAGGAAAGUACAUGGCAUAAAUAUUACUUUUGAUGAGAAUUUCAGCUGGAGGAUGAGCAAAACAAUUUCCAAGGAAUAACAAAAUCUUGCAGUGUCAUCCAAUCCAGCUUCCCUACAGUGAGCAUGAGCUGCUGGUACAAAAUGUUUGUGAAACCAAUUAGAAAUGGUGUCUGUGGUGAUCCAUGCCUUUUUGUUAGCAUAAUGGACUGGUAAGAAGUUCACUCCUUGAAAAUAGCAAGGAUGCAAGCUUUUGGCUCUCACAGCAAAUGUGCCUGCUGUAUUAGCACAUCCUAGCACAGGUAUUCUGUUGUUGGCAUCCUUAAUUCCUUAGGAACUGUCUUAUUACCUGUAGUCAGUAUCUUUCUGGGGCAAUAACACCAAAACAGUAGUGAUUUUUCUCGAGCAAUAUAGACUUGUUCUGGCAUCACAUUUUCAUCAGUGAUGACCUUGGCAAAUGUGUCAGUGUAUUUUUCAUUGAUUUGUGAUCAGCAGAUGCUUUAUUACCACAAAAUUUUAAAAAUUGAAUAGAGUGUCUUAAAUUUCUGCAACCAAACUGUUGAAUAUUCACAAUUCCCUUUAAUUUUUAGUUCUUCAUGUGAAUCUUUGUUUGUUUUUUGAUCAUAUUAUUAAAUGGCAUGUGUUCACUGUGAUACUGAUGGAUCCACUUUUUCAAUACAUGAUGGAGAUCUUCAUUUUUAGCUUUAUUUGGUAUUUUUCUGUUUUUCAUUAACUUCUGUUCAUCACUUUUGGUAUGGAGUGUCAACAGUUUGCCCUUGUUUCUUCAUGUCUUAUAUGGUGGACAUUUCAACAUCAUGCUCUCCUGCAGGACGUUUCACACUUACCCCGCUGUCCAGUUUCUCCAGGUCUUUCUGUGCUAUAGAUAAACAUAAACAUUUCCUUUUUUUCUUAUCACUGUUACCUAUAGGGGCAUCUGCAGGCCUUUUUUCCAACAUUUUCGAUAAUUUUUUACACCGCAGAGCACAGAAUAAGCAAAAAAAAAUAGCGAGUAAUGCACAUAGGUCUUGGCCUUAGGUAGGAACAUCAGCAGGGAACCUGUGUGUCCAGCCUGUACAACACGUGCCAUUUUACUACCCUUUGUGGAUGUGCUUGCCUGGGGGAAUCUGGGUAUGAUCGGAAAAGAUAUGCCAGCUCAAGAGGACUAAGAGGGUCUUUUUUUCUCUUGGGGAUGCUGAAUAAACUGUGUGCUGUGCACUUGCAUUUUGACUGUGAGCUGUCACAGAAGUCAGGUUUGAAAUUUUCCACCUGUGGUGUCAUGUUGGAGCUCAUAAAGUUUUGGAUAUUGGAGCAUUUUGGGUUUCAGAUUUUUGGAUUAUGGAGUUCAACCUUAUCUUGUCAAGCUUAUUUCCUUUCAUAUUCAGAGUGUUUGGUCUUACUUGUUUAUUUUUUCCAUACAAACUUAAGAAUCGGCUUUCUUCAUCCUACAAGCAGAAAUCUUGUUGGAAUUAUUAUUGUGAAGACAAUAAAUUUAUAUGUUAACUUACUUACAUGUUUUGAAUCUUCCCAUUCAAAAACAUGAUAUGUUCUUUUACUUGUUGAAGUCUACUAUUAGAGCAUUUAGAAAUGUGUUAAAGGUCUCUCAUGUUGGUUUUGUACAUUUCUUGUAAAGUUUAUUUCUAGAUGUCUUGUCUCUUUUUUGUUGGUAUUGUAAAUGUGUUAUUCUCUUAUGUAAUGUUUUCUGAUUGCUGUUUAUAUGUGAAAAAUACUUUAUUUAUUUAUUUAUUUGAGUUGGAGUCUUGCUUUGUCAUCUAGGCUGGAGUGCAAUGGCAUGAUCUUGGUUCACUGCAACCUCUACCUCCUGGAGGUAGUGAUUCUCCUGUCUCAGCCUCCCAAGUAGCUAGGACUACAGGCACGUGCUACCACACCUGGCUAAUUUUUGUAUUUUUAGUAGAAACGAGGUUUUGCCAUGUUGGCCAGGCUGGUCUUGAACUCCUGACCUCAGAUGAUCCACUCACUUCAGCCUCCCAAUGUGCUGGGAUUACAGGUGUGAGCCACCGUGCCCGGCCUGAAAAAUACUUUAAAAGAUCAGUUUGUUUGUGUAAUUCUUUAUUAAGUACUGUAGAGAUUACCUAAGGAAAAUGUGAAAAAUAUUCUUUCUUCCUUGGUGACUAAUAUAUAGGUUGAAUAUAAAAAAAAAUGCUCAUAGGAAAAAAGUCUCAAAAAAUAAGUAUUCGAAUGUUGACAGUGGUUAUUUAUAGAUUUCUAGAUGAUUUCUUCUUUUGCCUACCUAUUUUAGUGGUGAUUACUAGUUGUCAACCAUAAUCCAUGCUCUCCUUCUUCUUGGCACAUGGCUGCUCAUCUUUACUACAUUUUAUUUUAUUUUAUUUUUUACUACACUUCCCAGUUAACCUUGAGAAUAUGUGUUUGUGUUUUCUGCAAUGGGUUGUGAAAGGAAUUGGUAUGUGAUACUUUUUGGACUGGAUCUCAAGACAUUGUGCCUUUCCUAGUAGUUGCUCUUUUCCUUUUAUGCUGUUUUAAUUGGAAGUACUCAGACCAUUCAGAUGAUGACAGUGCCUUAGUGAAGAGCAGAGCCAUGACUUGGAAAGUACCUGAAUCUGUGAAUGACUACAAGGAACGGGGAUCUGCUCCACCAAGCUGGACCAUUUAUGUUAAGAUUGAAAUUAAAGAGAAAUAAACUUUUCUGUUUGUUAA
Molecule: long non-coding RNA, 29741 nt
Organism: Homo sapiens (human)
Lineage: Eukaryota; Metazoa; Chordata; Mammalia; Primates; Hominidae
Exons: 2
Source: RefSeq, a predicted model, not a curated record